This 6021-nucleotide long non-coding RNA is filed under the name Salmo salar (Atlantic salmon). Its description in RNAcentral is "lncRNA (ENSSSAG00000107984.1)". The stretch from base 4956 to 5009 matches the Rfam family "UnaL2 LINE 3' element". The record is from RNAcentral. Lineage: Eukaryota; Metazoa; Chordata; Actinopteri; Salmoniformes; Salmonidae.
UUCUUUCAUUCCUAUACCCUAAUGAUCGUAUACAACCUGUAAGCCUGAACAUAAACACCAGUGGGACUAGCAACUUGUGGCAAAGUUAAAUUUAUUAUAUUUUGUCACAGCACAUUUAUAAAUCACAGAGAAGAAUGCUGAGCAGUUGAUUGAUUGAGGGUUACGUGGUGUGGUGUUAGAGAGCAGUGUUUCUCAACCUUUUAUAUGAUCUCUCAGAUUAUGGCUGGGAUUCAAUAUGAUUCAAUCUGCGUUUUGUAGACAAAGCAGUUAUUAAAGGCAAUGUUACCGAGUAAGUGGAGAUCGCAUCAAGGUAAACGCUGCAGAUGUCGUCUCAAUAGAAAUUACCUUUAAAUGUAAAGUGCGCUAACAAGGAUCUAGCGAAUCUAGGCCCAACACUAGCAAUUGAGAACUGAUUAAAUCGUUGUUAGCUAACCAUCUGAGGGACUGGUUAGAAACAGUAACAGUCCGCGUAUUAGGGGUGUAUCAAUGUUCUAUAUCAAUGGGAGAAACACUGGUAUAGAGUGAACACAUUCCCUUUUCAUGUAACAGAGACCACAUUGGGGAUGCUCUCAAUAGUCAUCUUCAUACGAUUAAUUUCAAUAAAUACUAUACAAAAAAAUUGAUCUAAGACCGAGAUAAAAAACAUGGCACAUGCUGAAAAAAAUACAUACCCUUUACAAUUAGCUAUAAAAACUAAAUGAUUUACAAAGAUGUUGGUACACUGCACUGUGUAUUACAUACAGUAUAUAUUUCAUUAUGAGUUUGUAUAUACAUGUAUAUUACUUACUUAUGCUUUUAAUAAAGUGCCUUUCUUAAAAAAAACAAGUUUACAAAAAUUAUACCUUAUCUUUUCAAAAGAAAAUAUUCCUGAUAAAAAAGGUUUGCAACGUAAACUUUCAAAUGUAAGCCCAAUACGAGACAUCUCCAAAAAGACUAAAGUAUUUUUCCAUGACAAAAACAACAAAGAAUGUUUCAAAUUGAGAAACAGCAUUGAAGUUGGCCAAUGAUAAAUAGCACAAUGAAACACGUUGCCAACUGCAGUGUACUAGGAACAUUUCUCCCAUAAACCCAUGAACUUUAAAACAGAUGGUUUUGCAUCAUCAUCACCCCAUUGGUUUGUAAGAAAAGUAAACACAAUCAUUGUAUAAAGUUGCACUUUAUUCCCAUCUCACAAGCUCUAUCACCUUAACAUUUCCCUUUGCUAAUAAAAGGUCCAACAAUGAGACAGAAUCUGUAAGGUACAUGGAAAAGAGUCGAGCAAUUCAUACUGUGCUGAGUGGAUUUAACAGUGGCCAUUGAAAAAUAGUCAGUUUGUUACUGUACAGAAACACUGUACAGAGAAAGAGAGAGGGCAAGAGGGAGAGGUGGACGUGGCUUGCUUUGAAAACAAUAUAACUUUGAGAAUCAGGCCAAUGUCAAUACUUUCUAAGAAACAGUUCUGAUAGCCAGCCUUUCUUCCAUCCCUAUUUUCCUCUUCUCUCUCCUUCUCUCCCUUUUCCUCUGUAGCCAUACUUUACUCAGCACUCCCACAGAACACACAUACACAGAUAUCUAUCUACUGCAGUGGAGGCACCUCCUCAGAGGAGGGGAGGACCAUCCUACUCAGUCAUUUCAUGAAAAAUAGUGAAACGUUAUAAAGGUUAUCCUUUUAAGAUGAUACUAUACUAAAUAUAUUCACAUGUCACCAAAUAACUGAUUAAAACACACUGUUUUGCAAUGAAGGUCUACAGUAGUCUCAACAGAACUCUCUGGGGUAGCACCAUGGUGUAGCCGGAGGACAGCUAGUUUCCGUCCUCCUCUGGGUACAUUGACUUCAAUACAAAACCUAGAACAAUGGAUUAAAGUGAUCUUUAAGAAAUCAUUCACUGCCUUUUUUUUGUUGAGUGCAAAAAUGAAGGAGAAGCAGCAGAGAGAGCGAGAGCUAGCUCUAUUUAUUUUUUUAUUUUUCCUUUCAUUCACUUAGCUAGCUAAUUCAGUUAGCUAAUUUAGCCUACUCAAACACCCAGCACAAACAGAAGCAUGCUAUCUAUGUUAGCUAUCUGGCUAAGGCUAGCCAACACUGGAACUCUUCCAAGUCAAGGUAAGCGGUUUAAUUAAUGUAUUGCCAUGAGGCCCGCUGGUGUAACUGCUAAACUGCUUGCUGUACACUGUACUGCGUGAUUGUAGCGGGUUUACUAACGUGUUAGUUCUAGUAGCUAUGUUGACUAUGACGUUAGCUAAUAUGGUGACAACGAUGUAGGCUGUGUGUAGUGGUUAGCGAUUACGGCAUGAAGGUGAGGGGAGGAUAGCACGUAGACGCGAGAAGGAAUUAUACAAUGAGCAAAGUGAUGAUUCUGUUUGUAUGUGGCUGCUAUGAAAGUGAACUGUGUGUGCGGGUGAUUAGGGGUGUAUUCAUUCCACCGAUUCUGUUGAAAACCGUUUCUUAAACGGAAAUAAACAGAACGAAACGGGGAUAAACCUACCUGAAUUUGUCCAAUAGAAACUCUCGUUUGCAACUGUUUGGACUAAUGAUUACACCCUAGAUCAGCUAUAUUCAGGCAAGAGUGUGCAAGGCGGUAUUGAAUGCGUCACUGUCUGUCACCUUGAUUACUCCAAUUUGUCUCUCGAUCUGUUAUAAACUUUCAUUCGUAGACUAGGUUGUAGCAACCUCAUGAUAGAUAUAGGGAAAAUUCAAGAAUCAUGUAGCCUAAACCUAUUGAUGUUACAUUGAAUGGAAUAUAAAUGACACUCAUCCAAUAUGCUGUAAUAGAAAUAAGGCCUUGCGCAUAAAAAAAAGGUCCUCCCUAAUCUUAAACGGCACCAACCACCACUGAUCUACUGAACCUAGAGGUCCUCUGAAAGACAUACACGCUUGCACGUGCAUACACACAACACAGAGUACAUUCCUAGGACAGAGAGAUAUGCUGUGAGAGUCAGUGGAGGCUGUUGCAAUAGAGUGAAUGUUAUGGUAUCAAACACAUGAAAACCAUUAUUACUAUGAGUUGUCCUCCCCUCAGCAGCCUCCACUGGGUGUAGUGGUUGUAGUGUAGUGUAAUGUGAUGGUGAAACCUGAGGCAGCAGCAGGCAGGCUGGAGAGCCAUGCAGCAGUGUGAGCCUGAGCUGUUAAUGCCAUGAGGAUUCAGGGGGUUUUCACAGCUGGGCCCAAUGGAAGAUGAACCCAGUGUAGUGUGAAGGUAUCCAUUACUCCAUGCCAAACAGUCAGAAUGGACUCAAUUAAAGAGGGACUUCAUCCCAAAUAGUACCCUAUCCCCUUUAUAAUGCACUACUUUUGGUCCAAAAUAGUGCACUAUAUAGGCGAUAGGCUGCUAUUUGGGACAAAUUCCCUCUUUAAUUGAGUCCAUUCUGACUGUGUCUGGCAUGAAGUAAUGGAUAUCUUCCAGGGACUGUGGAUGGUUAACUGGUCAUAUCCCAACGUACACUCCUCAUAUGAAUCACUGCAUUACUUUGUCUGUGUUCACUUGGCUGUGUGUUUGGUAGUGAUAUGAAGCAACAACGUGAUGGUCAAGGCAGUUUGAGUCCAUAGGAACACAUCACAUUCAAUGACAAGGCUUUGGAUACUAUGUGAUUAAAAUGUUCAAAAUCCAUGUAAAACAUCACAGCACAAUUUGAAAAAUAUAUGGCACAUGAAAACCAAACGAGGGUGGUCUGCAGUGAUAGGUGGGAUGGGCUGAGAGUGGCUGAGGGGUGGGAUUAAAGAGCUCAUGUUCGGUAAUGUAUUAUUGUUAUGUGAUUGCUUUAUAUAAAAGUACCAUGUAUGUAAAAUCUAUAUGUACAAUGCAUGUAUAAGUAGCAAAAAAGCUGUAAAAAAAACAAAAAAUAUAUUUGUGUCCUCCGAUGGGGGGGUUAAGGGGGAAAAAAGGGUGAAAAAUGGCAAGGCUUUGAUCAGAGAAUGUGGACAAAUGUUACCAGCACCGUGUCUCAACAGAUGAAGGAGAACGCAUGUCAUGCUGCUGUUUCAUCUGAGAGAAUUUGAGGGAAAAAAAAAAACGUUAUUCAUACCAGAGGCUGUAACGCUCUUCUCAUAUUAUGUUCGUCAGUGUGUCUGAGUCCAACUACUACAGCCCUCUGUGUUCUUAUUGUGAUUGGCAUCUUGAUGAAUUGGGAUCUCUGUGAAGUUUCCAAACGCUAUUCGCUUAACUGGCUUCGAUAUGGCAGAGUGCAGGAUGUUGAGGGAAUACUGGAGGGCUGCCUGACUCUCUGUGUGUGUGUGUGUGUGUGUCUGUGUUUGUCUUUAGUGACGGCCUGAUGACAACCUACAGAGAAUUCCCCUAUGCCAACUUGAGCCAGUUAUGAAUGGGCAUGGAUGAGGGCGAGGGAGAGAGAGAGAGAGAGAGGGAGGAAAGGAGAAAAGGAGCAAUCGAGCUACCAGCUCCCACAGUCUCACGUCAGAAUUAGACUUUCAUCCAUGUUUCUUAAACGUCAAAUUCAGAAGUUGUUCCAAAUGUCAAAUUUCAAAGUGUUUAAAGUUAGGUUUUGUCAUUAACUCCAAAUGUUUAAGGUUAGCGGUUAACCUCAGGCAUUAACUCCAAAUUCUUAGGUUAGGCAGUAACUCCAAAUGGUUAAGGUAAGGUUGAAAGUUUGGGAUACCCUUAAAAACAAAAAUACUUUCCAUUGCUGGUUUUGAACUUGCAACCUUUGAAAUCAGAGGCAGAUGAUUACGCCCAAUCCCCGUCCACAACACAACACCAUAGCAAAACCAAAACCUUCUUGAAGGUAACAGUGCUCACUAUUGCUCCUAGUGGCCGGUUUACACAUAAUUUCCCGACGUCGUCAGAUGUGGAUGGACGUCGAACAUUGACUUGUAUCACGGGUGACCUGGAUGUAAUUAGAGUAUAAAAAAGGGAAGGAGAGGAUAAGUCCCGUGUGGCUCAGUUGGUAGAGCAUGGCUCUUGCAAUGCCAGGGUUGUGGAUUCAUUUCCCAUGGGGGACCAGAAUGAAAAAGUAUUAAGAUUGUAUGCACUCACUACUGUAAGUUGCUCUGGAUAAGAGCAUGUGCUAAAUUACUAAAAUGUAAAAAUAAGAGAGAGAGUGACUGAGUGUGUAACACCAAAGGUUGUGUAUUGUUUCUGCUGUUGUCAUUGCAGUGUGGAGAGGGAGAGCUGUCCAUCAACACUAUUCUUUCAGGAUGUAUUCAGCCUCAACAUCUCUCAAUGGCACUCAGUCUGAUAACCAGGGUUAGUAUUAAGACCUUAAAACAACACCAGGCAACAAGACAGGGUGGAGGGGGAGAGGCAGCAGGUCUUGGACACCAGUGAAGGGGAGAGCUCUUCAAAGGGUUCCACUGUUUACAGAGAUGUCUCUCCACUUCCCCUCUGCUCAACUCCCACUCCUCUCUGGAGAAAGGACCUCCAUGCAUCAACUGAGCCCAGACACCCCUCUCCUGCACCUUCACUUCUACCUCCAGCCUCACUCCAUCCUCCCCCUCACCCCUAGAGAGUCCAAGUAUCUCUCUCCUUUCAAGCCCCCCUACCAAGCGUUUCCCCCUCUUCCCUCCUACCUCUCUCCCUCUUUUCCAGCACCUCUACGACUGUCUCUCUGAGUGUCUCGGGUUGCGAGGAAUGCAACACCGUGACUUGUUAACAGGCGAUAAAAGGAAAACAUCUCAAUACGGCUCAAUUAUGGAUCAGAUUAAACGAUGGAGCAAUCCUUAGGAGGAAUACAAGCGGUGCGUCUGUCGAUGAGAGAGAGAGAAAGAGAGAGAGAGAGCGACAGAGAGACCUUCAAGGUUUCAACAAUGUAUUUUUAUGUUUCCCCCAGGAUUAGCUAACCAUGACCCAGUGCAACUUUAUCUGACGGAGCAUUACGGCCAAAUGGCUCAGGAGGAUGAGUAUCUGGUCUUCUGAUACUGGAUAUGACUGGAUGAAUAACACAAUAGAGUUCUAGGGGUCAACAUCUCCAAAGAAAUAUGUGGCUUGACAUGAAAUAAGAAAGUAAGAAAAGCACAAUGCAUCUUGGGGCUGUGCUUGAUCAGUCUGUUUUUUUGUUCCGACUGGAGUUGGGCCAAGAGAGAGAGAGAGCGUU